RNAcentral lists this ribosomal RNA (869 nucleotides) under Staphylococcus pseudintermedius. Its description in RNAcentral is "bacterial SSU rRNA". It matches the Rfam family "Bacterial small subunit ribosomal RNA", at positions 211 to 1075 of the family's 1533-position model. The record is from RNAcentral. Lineage: Bacteria; Bacillati; Bacillota; Bacilli; Caryophanales; Staphylococcaceae.
UCUGUCACUUAUAGAUGGACCCGCGCCGUAUUAGCUAGUUGGUGGGGUAACGGCCUACCAAGGCGACGAUACGUAGCCGACCUGAGAGGGUGAUCGGCCACACUGGAACUGAGACACGGUCCAGACUCCUACGGGAGGCAGCAGUAGGGAAUCUUCCGCAAUGGGCGAAAGCCUGACGGAGCAACGCCGCGUGAGUGAUGAAGGUCUUCGGAUCGUAAAGCUCUGUUUUAGGAAGAACAAAUGUGUAAGUAACUGUGCACAUCUUGACGGUACCUAACCAGAAAGCCACGGCUAACUACGUGCCAGCAGCCGCGGUAAUACGUAGGUGGCAAGCGUUAUCCGGAAUUAUUGGGCGUAAAGCGCGCGUAGGCGGUUUUUUAAGUCUGAUGUGAAAGCCCACGGCUCAACCGUGGAGGGUCAUUGGAAACUGGAAAACUUGAGUGCAGAAGAGGAAAGUGGAAUCCAUGUGUAGCGGUGAAAUGCGCAGAGAUAUGGAGGAACACCAGGGCGAAGGCGGCUUUCUGGUCUGCAACUGACGCUGAUGUGCGAAAGCGUGGGGAUCAAACAGGAUUAGAUACCCUGGUAGUCCACGCCGUAAACGAUGAGUGCUAAGUGUUAGGGGGUUUCCGCCCCUUAGUGCUGCAGCUAACGCAUUAAGCACUCCGCCUGGGAGUACGGUCGCAAGACUGAAACUCAAGGAAUUGACGGGGACCCGCACAAGCGGUGGAGCAUGUGGUUUAAUUCGAAGCAACGCGAAGAACCUUACCAAAUCUUGACAUCCUUUGACCGCUCUAGAGAUAGAGUUUUCCUCUUCGGAGGACAAAGUGACAGGUGGUGCAUGGUUGUCGUCAGCUCGUGUCGUGAGAUUU